AUGCACGCUGGCGGCGUGCCUUAUACAUGCCAGUCGAGUGGGUUUAGACCCACGGCAAACGGGUGAGUAACACGUAGGUACUUUCCUUGUCACAGGAAUAACCCUCCGAAAGGAGGGCUAAUACCUGAUGUGAUCGCAAGAUUAAAGGGUAUCCGCAAGGAUUACCGGACAAGAAGAGGCCUGCGGCCUAUCAGCUAGUUGGCGGGGUAAAUGCCCACCAAGGCUAUGACGGGUAGCUGGUCUUAUGAGGAUGAUCAGUCACAUGGGCACUGAGACACGGGCCCAACUCCUACGGGAGGCAGCAGUAGGGAAUUUUGCGCAAUGGGCGAAAGCCUGACGCAGCGACGCCGCGUGCGGGAUGAAGGCCUUCGGGUCGUAAACCGCUUUUAUAAGGGACGAACUUUGACGGUACCUUAUGAAUAAGAGGUUGCUAACUCUGUG
This 441-nucleotide ribosomal RNA is filed under the name uncultured bacterium. RNAcentral's name for it is "partial 16S ribosomal RNA". It matches the Rfam family "Bacterial small subunit ribosomal RNA", at positions 29 to 507 of the family's 1533-position model. The record is from RNAcentral.